This 1069-nucleotide long non-coding RNA is filed under the name Sorghum bicolor (sorghum). RNAcentral describes it as "long non-coding RNA (SBIC_LNC018814)". The record is from RNAcentral. Lineage: Eukaryota; Viridiplantae; Streptophyta; Magnoliopsida; Poales; Poaceae.
AGGUGGAGUGGUGCCUCAAAAAUCACAGCAAAUGGAACACCUUAACAAGUUCCGACCGGUUCUUACCAGCAAGGCACGGAUACCUGGAAGACGUAGCGCUGAGAUUACGGGGUCAAAACUUGUGUUGUCCAGAAGCAAUAUGUGGAGCUCUAGGAAGGCUUAAAAUAUAGUAGCAAGGAAUAGCAAUAAUUUAAUUCAGAAAUUGCAAGAUUGAAAAGUAGUCCCAAGCUAGUCUAUGUCGCCGGCCUAAACUUAUCCAGGACCUAGUUCAAGCAAGCAACAAUACAACUCGGCGUGGAGACUCAAAGGAUGCAAGCACUUCUGAAAUUCUUUUCACUUUUUUUUGCUGCGGCUUUUACUCUCUCUUUUUUUUAUGCAGCUCGUUGCCUUUUACUUUUUUUUUGUGUGGCUCUUUCUUUUUCUUUUUACAGAAUAUGCCGCAAUGUACAAAGUACCUGAUACGCAACUAACUGAUUUGUAACCCACGGCAAAAGAAACUGAGCCCAAACCUACAACCGUCAAAAAAAAAUAAAAAUAAAGAUGUGAUCAAACUGAUGGACGUCAACAAACCAGACCUAGACUUAUCUAAACCAACGAACACAAUGACAUAACGAGGGACGACUGUUCAAUAAAGCAAACUGAAAUAAAAUUAUUGCACGGCCACAACGGGUGAUAGGACUUGGGGAAAACAAAGAUGAACACAAGUAUUUUUGUAGGGCUAUUUUUUUGGAUUUUUAGGACAAAGUGAAACACAACUAAACUAGGAUAAGGGCGAACCUGAUGGUAAACCUGAGGCUCUGAUUACCACUUGAUGUGAACUAGGGUUCCUGAUCUUCCGAAAGGUUCUGAUAACUCUCGAUUUGGUGGAGUCGCGACACAAUUCGAUCCGGCUUCCGAACAACUCGGUCCUGAAACCCCGCAAUCGCAGCACCACGUCUCCUCUGGUUAUCAACCGUUGAUGCACGGUCGACCUCGCCAAGAAGGCUGAGUCCUUUGCCUGCAAAUCGAAGAACACAAGCAAGAACAAGAAAGAAUGCAACCAAAUUGCAGAUGAAUGAUUAAUCUCACG